RNAcentral lists this ribosomal RNA (696 nucleotides) under uncultured bacterium. Its description in RNAcentral is "bacterial SSU rRNA". It matches the Rfam family "Bacterial small subunit ribosomal RNA", at positions 111 to 823 of the family's 1533-position model. The record is from RNAcentral.
UAACGCGUGAGGAACCUGCCUCAAAGAGGGGGACAACAGUUGGAAACGACUGCUAAUACCGCAUAAGCCCACGACCCGGCAUCGGGAAGAGGGAAAAGGAGCAAUCCGCUUUGAGAUGGCCUCGCGUCCGAUUAGCUAGUUGGUGAGGUAACGGCCCACCAAGGCGACGAUCGGUAGCCGGACUGAGAGGUUGAACGGCCACAUUGGGACUGAGACACGGCCCANACUCCUACGGGAGGCAGCAGUGGGGAAUAUUGCACAAUGGGGGAAACCCUGAUGCAGCGACGCCGCGUGGAGGAAGAAGGUCUUCGGAUUGUAAACUCCUGUUGUUGAGGAAGAUAAUGACGGUACUCAACAAGGAAGUGACGGCUAACUACGUGCCAGCAGCCGCGGUAAAACGUAGGUCACAAGCGUUGUCCGGAAUUACUGGGUGUAAAGGGAGCGCAGGCGGGCGAUCAAGUUGGAAGUGAAAUCCAUGGGCUCAACCCAUGAACUGCUUUCAAAACUGGUCGUCUUGAGUAGUGCAGAGGUAGGCGGAAUUCCCGGUGUAGCGGUGGAAUGCGUAGAUAUCGGGAGGAACACCAGUGGCGAAGGCGGCCUACUGGGCACCAACUGACGCUGAGGCUCGAAAGUGUGGGUAGCAAACAGGAUUAGAUACCCUGGUAGUCCACACCGUAAACGAUGAUUACUAGGUGU